GACGGGGGAUGGAAGCGUUAUCCGGAAUCACUGGGCGUAAAGCGUCUGUAGGUGGUGAUGCAAGUCACUGGUGCAAAACUCUGGCUCAACCGGAGGAAAGCCAGUGAAACUGCAUGACUAGAGUGGGGGAGAGGUAGAAGGAAUUCCCUGAGUAGCGGUGAAAUGCGUAGAGAUUGGGAAGAGCACCGGUGGCGAAAGCGCUCUGCUGGACUGCAACUGACACUGAGGGACGAAAGCUAGGGGAGCGAAAGGG
RNAcentral lists this ribosomal RNA (253 nucleotides) under uncultured bacterium. RNAcentral's name for it is "partial 16S ribosomal RNA". It matches the Rfam family "Bacterial small subunit ribosomal RNA", at positions 524 to 776 of the family's 1533-position model. The record is from RNAcentral.